This is a long non-coding RNA of Xyrauchen texanus (razorback sucker), 287 nucleotides long. RefSeq lists it as uncharacterized. The record is from RefSeq and is a predicted model, not a curated record. Lineage: Eukaryota; Metazoa; Chordata; Actinopteri; Cypriniformes; Catostomidae. The transcript has 3 exons.
UGCACCGAAGGCUGACUGCUCAGAGGGGGUUGGCACAGUCCAGACCCUCAAGACCAGAAGAUCCACGCAGGCUGGGAGUCCUAUCUGGUAUCCCUGCCCCAAGUGUUGAGGAACUCUUGCAGAAGCAAGUGAGCAGAGGCUUAGCACAGGCCCCGGCAGAUCAGAGCUAGCCUGGAGCCAGGCCCCCGUCGAGCAUGGUAGCUUCGUGAAAAAUAAAUUACUGAACGACUAAACACCACAGCACCCACACUUCACCGGUCUUCAAAACCUGAGAGAAAUGACCCCCG